Molecule: ribosomal RNA, 500 nt
Filed under: uncultured bacterium
Lineage: Bacteria
Description: partial 16S ribosomal RNA
Rfam family: Bacterial small subunit ribosomal RNA
Source: RNAcentral
AUUGAACGCUGGCGGCAUGCCUUACACAUGCAAGUCGAACGGCAGCACGGGAGCAAUCCUGGUGGCGAGUGGCGAACGGGUGAGUAAAGUAUCGGAACGUGCCCAGUCGUGGGGGAUAACGUAGCGAAAGUUACGCUAAUACCGCAUACGAUCUAUGGAUGAAAGCGGGGGAUCGCAAGACCUCGCGCGAUUGGAGCGGCUGAUAUCAGAUUAGGUAGUUGGUGGGGUAAAGGCUCACCAAGCCGACGAUCUGGAGCUGGUCUGAGAGGACGACCAGCCACACUGGGACUGAGACACGGCCCAGACUCCUACGGGAGGCAGCAGUGGGGAAUUUUGGACAAUGGGCGCAAGCCUGAUCCAGCCAUGCCGCGUGCAGGAUGAAGGCCUUCGGGUUGUAAACUGCUUUUGUACGGAACGAAAAGGUUUGACUUAAUACGUUGGACUCAUGACGGUACCGUAAGAAUAAGCACCGGCUAACUGCGUGCCAGCCGCCGCGGUAA